Molecule: ribosomal RNA, 945 nt
Filed under: uncultured bacterium
Lineage: Bacteria
Description: bacterial SSU rRNA
Rfam family: Bacterial small subunit ribosomal RNA
Source: RNAcentral
GAGUUUGAUCCUGGCUCAGAACUAACGCUGGCGGCGCGUCUUAAACAUGCAAGUCGAACGGUAGUCCUUGAGCUUGCUUAGGGAUGAGAGUGGCGAACGGGUGAGUAACACGUGGAUAAUCUGCCUCCGGGUUGGGGAUAACUGUCCGAAAGGGCGGCUAAUACCGAAUGAGAUGGUGGUUGCACAAGCAGCAGCCAUUAAAGGUGGGGACCGCAAGGCCUACCGCCUGGAGAUGAGUCCGCGGCUGAUUAGCUUGUUGGUGGGGUAACGGCCUACCAAGGCGACGAUCAGUAGCCGGCCUGAGAGGGUGAACGGCCACAUUGGGACUGAGAUACGGCCCAGACUCCUACGGGAGGCAGCAGUUAAGAGUCUUGCACAAUGGGCGCAAGCCUGAUGCAGCGACGCCGCGUGAAUGAUGAAGGCUUUCGGGUUGUAAAGUUCAGUAAGCAGGGAAGAAUAAGCGCCGGGUAAUAUUCGGCGUGAUGACGGUACUUGCCUAAAGCCCCGGCUAACUACGUGCCAGCAGCCGCGGUAAUACGUAUGGGGCGGGCGUUGUUCGGAAUUAUUGGGCGUAAAGGGCGUCUAGGCGGGAAAUUAAGUUAGGUGUGAAAGCUAUGGGCUCAACCCAUAAACUGCAUCUAAAACUGAUUUUCUUGAGUUCGGGAGAGGAGAGCGGAAUUCCAGGUGUAGCGGUGAAAUGCGUAGAUAUCUGGAAGAACACCAGUGGCGAAGGCGGCUCUCUGGCCUAGAACUGACGCUGAAGCGCGAAAGCGUGGGGAGCGAACAGGAUUAGAUACCCCGGUAGUCCACGCUGUAAACGUUGUAUACUAGGUGUUAGUGGCUUGUCCACUAGUGCCGCAGCAAACGCAUUAAGUAUACCGCCUGGGGGAGUACGCCCGCAAGGGUGAAACUCAAAGAAAUUGACGGGGGCCCGCACAAGCGGUG